Molecule: ribosomal RNA, 497 nt
Filed under: uncultured bacterium
Lineage: Bacteria
Description: bacterial SSU rRNA
Rfam family: Bacterial small subunit ribosomal RNA
Source: RNAcentral
GAUCCUGGCUCAGAUUAAACGCUGGCGGCAUGCCUUACACAUGCAAGUCGAACGGCAGCACGGGGGCAACCCUGGUGGCGAGUGGCGGACGGGUGAGUAAUACAUCGGAACGUGCCCUGGAGUGGGGGAUAACGCAGCGAAAGCUACGCUAAUACCGCAUAUUCUGUGAGCAGGAAAGCAGGGGAUCGCAAGACCUUGCGCUUUGGGAGCGGCCGAUGUCGGAUUAGCUAGUUGGUGGGGUAAAGGCCUACCAAGGCGACGAUCCGUAGCGGGUCUGAGAGGAUGAUCCGCCACACUGGGACUGAGACACGGCCCAGACUCCUACGGGAGGCAGCAGUGGGGAAUUUUGGACAAUGGGCGGAAGCCUGAUCCAGCCAUGCCGCGUGAGUGAAGAAGGCCUUCGGGUUGUAAAGCUCUUUCGGCGGGGAAGAAAUUGCUUGGGUUAAUACCCUGAGUAGAUGACGGUACCCGAAUAAGAAGCACCGGCUAACUACGUG